AGAGUUUGAUCAUGGCUCAGAAUGAACGCUGGCGGCGUGCUUUACACAUGCAAGUCGAGCGAGGCGGCCCGCAAGGGUCAGUCGAGCGGCGAACGGGUGAGUAACGCGUGGAUGAUCUGCCCUGAGGUGGGGAACAACCAGGGGAAACUCUGGCUAAUACCGCAUGAUACCGAGAGGUCAAAGGGGGGCCGCAAGGUCUCUCGCCACAGGAGGAGUCCGCGUCCGAUUAGCUAGUUGGUAGGGUAAUGGCCUACCAAGGCGACGAUCGGUAGCCGGCCUGAGAGGGUGAUCGGCCACACUGGAACUGAGACACGGUCCAGACUCCUACAGGAGGCAGCAGUGGGGAAUUUUGCGCAAUGGGCUAACGCCUGACGCAGCAACGCCGCGUGGAGGAUGAAGGUCUUUGGAUUGUAAACUCCUGUCAGCGGGGAAAAAGCGACCGGUGCUCAUACCACCGGGAGUUGAUUGUACCCGCAGAGGAAGCCCCGGGCUACUCUGUGUCA
RNAcentral lists this ribosomal RNA (503 nucleotides) under uncultured bacterium. RNAcentral's name for it is "bacterial SSU rRNA". It matches the Rfam family "Bacterial small subunit ribosomal RNA", at positions 8 to 510 of the family's 1533-position model. The record is from RNAcentral.